AACGGUCUAUACCUGCGGUACCUGCGGAAGGAUCAUUAGAGAAUCAUUGACACGGGGUUUAUCCCCCCUGUCAACCCACUCUAUUUCACCCCUUGUGAACUGUCGAUCGGUCGAGAAUGUCUUCACAUUCUUGGUCGAGGGUGCUGCAAUUCAAUUUCGACUUGCCACCCAAAUCACCCUUUUGAAAAAACCAUAGUGUGUUGAAUGGUACGCCACAUGGCGAUUCUCUGAAACACAAUA
Molecule: unclassified non-coding RNA, 240 nt
Filed under: soil metagenome
Description: partial contains 5.8S ribosomal RNA, internal transcribed spacer 2, and large subunit ribosomal RNA
Source: RNAcentral